Molecule: ribosomal RNA, 427 nt
Filed under: uncultured bacterium
Lineage: Bacteria
Description: bacterial SSU rRNA
Rfam family: Bacterial small subunit ribosomal RNA
Source: RNAcentral
UCGAGAAUUUUUCACAAUGGGCGCAAGCCUGAUGGAGCGACGCCGCGUGGGGGAUGAAGGGUUUCGAUCCGUAAACCCCUGUCAUUUGCGAACAAACCUUGAUUGUGAAUAGCGAUCAAGCUGAUUGUAGCGGAGGAGGAAGGGACGGCUAACUCUGUGCCAGCAGCCGCGGUAAUACAGAGGUCCCAAGCGUUGUUCGGAUUCACUGGGCGUAAAGGGUGCGUAGGUGGUCAGUGAAGUUCGGUGUGAAAGCUCGGAGCUCAACUCCGAAACGGCAUUGAAAACUCAUCGGCUGGAGGGUCGGAGGGGAGACUGGAAUUCUCGGUGUAGCAGUGAAAUGCGUAGAUAUCGAGAGGAACACCAGUGGCGAAGGCGAGUCUCUGGACGACUCCUGACACUGAGGCACGAAAGCCAGGGGAGCAAACAG